Molecule: ribosomal RNA, 253 nt
Filed under: uncultured bacterium
Lineage: Bacteria
Description: partial 16S ribosomal RNA
Rfam family: Bacterial small subunit ribosomal RNA
Source: RNAcentral
UACGGAGGGUGCGAGCGUUGUCCGGAAUCACUGGGCGUAAAGGGCGCGUAGGCGGUCUGCUAAGCGUGCGGUGAAAGCCUGGGGCUCAACCCCAGGUCUGCCGUGCGAACUGGUGGACUAGAGCACUGUAGAGGCAGGUGGAAUUCCGGGUGUAGCGGUGGAAUGCGUAGAGAUCCGGAAGAACACCGGUGGCGAAGGCGGCCUGCUGGGCAGUUGCUGACGCUGAGAAGCGAAAGCAUGGGGAGCGAACAGG